CGUGUAGGCGGCUUUUUAAGUUGGCAGUGAAAGGUUCCGGCUCAACUGGGAUUUGCCUGUCAAUACUGGGGAGCUUGAGGGCACCAGAGGAAAGUGGAACUCGCGGUGUAGCGGUGAAAUGUGUAGAUAUCGCGAGGAACACCAGUGGCGAAGGCGGCUUUCUGGGGUGUUCCUGACGCUGAGGCGCGAAAGCGUGGGGAGCGAAGC
RNAcentral lists this ribosomal RNA (207 nucleotides) under uncultured bacterium. Its description in RNAcentral is "partial 16S ribosomal RNA". It matches the Rfam family "Bacterial small subunit ribosomal RNA", at positions 568 to 774 of the family's 1533-position model. The record is from RNAcentral.